CUUUCAGACUCUGUAGUUUGAGACGUGGCAGCUACAAUGGAAAGAACCUGGGAAACUAAAGUGAGGAUCUGAGUCAAGUUUCUUAUUUUUUUGGCUGUGUUGCUUUGCUUUGGUGGCUUGGACAGGAUAAAACUUCACUGGCUGGACGUUACUCACUCCUGCACUACUGCAGCCAAGAGAUCAUGGACCCCUGACAAGAGCCAGCAGGAGGCCAGCUUCCCCGAUGUGAUGGACAAACUACUCUGAUGCCCUCCUCUGCUGCAGUACAAGUACCUGUCCUGGAUGAAUUACAACAAUCAGGCUUCUGAAUAUAUUGCUGAGAUCCUAAGAAAGUGAGUGAAAUCUCCAAGGACAAGAGAGAAAAACAAAACAAAAACAGUGAGGUGAAACUUUCAAAAACAUCAAGGCAAGUCUGCCUGGGCAAAUGGCAACGCUAAAGUAGGCUUUGUGGCCUAAACAUCCCUUCUCCAAACCUGCGUCUCCUAAAUGUGCCCAGAACCCUUCAACAGGAGAAGAGUGUCUCUGGUCAACACUGAGUCCUGGCUACUGGUCGAAGCAAAUCACUUGCAUCUACAUUUCACUCUGCUGCCUUUGCUUUGCCUCUCACAGCCUCUGGUUUGGCCUGCGACCCUUUUUUCUUUUUUUUUGGCCUUUUUAAAUGAAGAUGGGGAAAUACUCAUGCUGGGCCAGAAGGUUCUAUUUGUGUCUUUUAAACUCAGUCUUCAUUUGAAAAUCUUCUUCAUCUUUCAAAAUACAGUCAACUUUACCACUGAGAUCUCUGGAACUUUUUUCACUGAAGUAAAUCCAUGUUUUGGGGGUUUACUUUUGAAUGAAUUGAGCUCCAUGGAUAAUUAUUUUUCUUUUUCAUUAAAAAUCUUUUUUACUUACUUUGUUCACUUAACCUUGACAUACCUGAGAGUAUUGCUCAGCUUACAUGGGGGAGCACACCACGCAGGACUCUUGUUUACCAUGUAAACGGUUGUUUUAUGAAUAAAACCCCAAGGUUGCACAGCUAUUGAAAAUCAGAAAACUGUGACAAUAUUUCGUUGACUUCACUUCCAAAAACUGAACAAGUAUUUAUUGAGAAUUUAAGUGAAAUGGCAUGUUCCAAAAAACAGGAUAAUUCAUAGGAAAACUGAAAUAUUUAAUCAUUAAAAUUAUGUCUUUACAAACUAAAACAUCUGGAUGGCUGAUGUUAAUUUACAAUUUUAUUCUGAAUGUUUAGCACUGCAUAAAAAUAGCCACAUUUCAUAUUUAUGUUUUCUUUAUAUUUUCUGAAAAAGAAAGCCAUGUUAUAGGCUGUAAUUCAGUUUGUAUAAGCUCUUAUAAUCAACUUCUAUUUAACUGGCUUACUGGACUAAUCACAAGUUAGCUUUCCUGCUUCAAAUAUUAUGCCAGCUGUGGUGGCAAGCGAUCCCUGGUGUGUGCCUGCUCUUCUGUCCCACUCAAGUUGUAUGCCAAACAAGAAUAAGUCAUGUUUCUUCCCAAAGCCAUUCAUUCCAGUUGAAUUUAUUGUAUAAUUAAAAUAUAAUUUGAUUCAGUAUGAUGUAAACUGGAGAGCUCUCAGUGUAAAAAGCAAAUUGCUUCUCUGAAGAACUCAUUGACUACCUUGGAAAAGCUUAAUAAAAUCAAGCAUAAAAUUGUUGUUGAUUUGGUCCUGGGAAAGACAACUUAAAAAGAUAAGGAACAAAAUCAUAAAAAUCUAGGAAACUUUGCCUUCAAAAUGUAUUGCAGUGUUGUUAAGUUCCUACUUCACUUAUAAGAAAGCAGAACCGGGAGAUGCAAAUACUGCGUAUGCUUUUUCAAGAAUAUUGUCAAAAUAACCUUAAAAGAAUUUAGUCCAAUUUAAACUUCAACCAAUAGUAUGUAAAAAGGGGUAGUUUCUAUGAAUUCUCUCCAAUACUGAGCAUUUUGAUUUCCUCAUUAGCUUUGAUGAGAUACAGUGCCAUACUAUCUCCUUUAAACUUGAUUCUAAUGAUUUUGAGUAGUUUUAUAGCCCUAUUGUUCAUCUGCCUUGUGUCUGCGUGUGUGUGAAUUUGUGAGAGGUCUCUGUAUAUUAACUAUCAACUCUUUGUCAUAUUAUAAAUAUUUUCUAAAAAUUUCCACUGACC
Molecule: long non-coding RNA, 2111 nt
Filed under: Equus caballus (horse)
Lineage: Eukaryota; Metazoa; Chordata; Mammalia; Perissodactyla; Equidae
Description: lncRNA (ENSECAG00000055276.1)
Source: RNAcentral